This is a long non-coding RNA of Melitaea cinxia (Glanville fritillary), 144 nucleotides long. RefSeq lists it as uncharacterized. Lineage: Eukaryota; Metazoa; Arthropoda; Insecta; Lepidoptera; Nymphalidae. The record is from RefSeq and is a predicted model, not a curated record. The transcript is spliced from 3 exons.
UGCACUGCUCAACAGACACACAAACGAAGGCAUUUGAAUCGCAUUGUUACUUGUGGCGAAAAAUGGAUUCUAUUCGACAAUCGCAAGCGCUCAGCUAGUUGGUUAGAUCCUGGUUCAGUACCUAAAAAAUACCCUAACCUAACA